GGGAAAGUAGGAUAUUUGGGACCAGAGGCCAGCCUUUCUGCUCUCUUCAGCAGAUCUCUGCAAUUUAUAACCCCAGACAGUGCCUUGAGACCAGUGAGAGAACUGAACACUGUAUAAUUAUGACCAAGCUAGAGCCCAAAGAUUUGCAGAAGUGCAAAUGUGGUGCAGAGACGGUAGACUGUGAGUGUGAAAUAUUGACUAUACUGGUGGA
Trichosurus vulpecula (common brushtail) is the source of this 211-nucleotide long non-coding RNA. RefSeq lists it as uncharacterized. The record is from RefSeq and is a predicted model, not a curated record. NCBI's taxonomy places the organism in Eukaryota, Metazoa, Chordata, Mammalia, Diprotodontia, Phalangeridae. The transcript is spliced from 3 exons.